Molecule: RNA transcript, 1001 nt
Organism: Anneissia japonica
Lineage: Eukaryota; Metazoa; Echinodermata; Crinoidea; Comatulida; Comatulidae
Exons: 5
Source: RefSeq, a predicted model, not a curated record
AACACGAAUGGGUUUCUUAGAAUUUUGAGGACUUAUGUUUAAUUGACAUAGGCAUGAUAAAUUGACAUAGGCAUGAUAAUAAACACAUAUUAAAGCAACAAGAAACGUCUAGGCCCUAGCCUAGCGGUGUUCGUGAACGUUUUAUGAAUGGUUCAGUGAUACACAGUAGGCCCUAGUUAGCAUGUAUUAUAUGGUCUACUAUUUAUAGUCAAAUCAAUAAUUAUUUUAUUGUUUGUAGAACUUCGUGUUUCUGACACGUUUUGUCUUCCAACCUAACGAAUAUGGCGAAAUGGACUACACUUUCACAUAUCCAACGACCGAAUGUUGCUACCAAAUGCUCAUAUUCAAUGAUGAACCGAAACAAUGGCCAUACAUCAGAGAACAUGAGGACCAACUGGAUUGCUUUGACAGGAAAGAGUUGAUUCCUAGUUACUACAAUGGCAAAGUGACCCUCAGUACCUCUCAGAAUGGACCUUUCCGCUAAGCCCCGCCCAUUGGAUAUUGUUGCUAAGGUCCCACAAGACGACAGUGUUAAAACAUACGCGAACACGUGCGUUUGUGGGACAACACGUGUGUUUGUAAGACGCGCGCGUAUCCCUAGCGUUGUUCUGAUUAGUCAGUUGUUAAGUUUGAUUGACACUCCGGAAAGGUCUAUUGUGAGAUACGGAUCAAUUAUAACACUGGACAAGGGGAAUUUUACUGUCACGGUAAACGUCACUUUGACGUCACCAAGGAACGUUGGUGGUACAUUGCCAUCGCACAUUGCGGUGGAGAUGGAAUUAACAGCUUCAAGUACAACAUCGAUUUGUAUAAUGGCAAGACAGCAUUUGACCGCCACUUCUCAGCUGACGAACGAUAGGUGAUGCUCCAGCGCCAAAUGUUAAACAGCACUUACCGACUAUUUUGCUACUCCUGCUACCUGCAGACAAUCAGCCUUCUUUUCCAGACAAUUGCUCUAGGAAAGUUUGCCAAUAAUGGUGUUGGAAUUGAACCCCUACGAA